AUUAGAUUGGUGCAAAAGUCAUUGCAGUUUUUUCCAUUACUUUCAAUAGCAAAAACUGCAGUGACUUUUGCACCAACCUAAUA
This 83-nucleotide microRNA precursor is filed under the name Mandrillus leucophaeus (drill). RNAcentral describes it as "miRNA (ENSMLEG00000002694.1)". The record is from RNAcentral. Lineage: Eukaryota; Metazoa; Chordata; Mammalia; Primates; Cercopithecidae.